Long non-coding RNA from Chinchilla lanigera (long-tailed chinchilla), 1997 nucleotides. RefSeq lists it as uncharacterized. The transcript has 3 exons. Lineage: Eukaryota; Metazoa; Chordata; Mammalia; Rodentia; Chinchillidae. The record is from RefSeq and is a predicted model, not a curated record.
UGGGUGUUAAAAAAUGUCUGAGUCUACUUUUUUCUGCCCUCGACUGUGAUGAAAUCGAUUCUUGCUGAAGAGGUUUCGUGCAGCCCACAGAGGAACACUGCGGCCAUCAAUAACCACAGGCCGGGGAUGGAAAACGGGACAGAAAGGAGAAGCACACAGGGCUGAGCAAACUCGAGGUUCCUCCAACCCAGCGCCUCAUGAACAGGCUGGAGACACCGGGUUCAAAUCUCCCUGCUGUCCUCUGGAGGCCUGUGACCUGCCAGCUGUCCUCUCACGUUCCUGCAGAAGACACUCGCUGUUGAGAACCUCCAGGACAACGUUCUUGGCAUGGGACGCUCGGCAGAGAACGCCAACGAGGUCUGCAUGGAGGAACCUACCUUGCAGUGUCACUGGGAGUCUGGAGCAUGGGGUGACAAGAUGCCGCUCAUGACAUCCUACAGGGCAGGGCUGGUGCUGGAGGAGGUGAGUUCACUCAUCGGGCUGUAUGGUGGGAGUGGGUGGAGCCUGGGUGCACUUCAGGGGGCUGGGACAGCCCCACAGGAAUCAGGGCGGUGUCUGCACUUCCGGCUGGGCGCUCCAUCUGGGACAGGCUGUGCCUGCAGCACCUUUUGCCCACACAAGCGGGUGUGUGUGGAAGGCAGCUGGAGAGAAGCCUGGGGCCUCAGGAGAGACGCGGCGAGCUGGGAGGCGCCUGGGGUCUGCGCCUGCGCCCCGGCGGAGCUCCCGCCCUGUCCCAAGCAGACACUCAGGAAACGUCAGGAAGCGGCCAGCAGCCCUUCCUUCUCUUGGGGACACAGAGGGGGGAGGCUGUCCUGUGUCGGGGCAGCAAGGGGACCAGCACGAACGGAGGCAAGGAGGGAGGCAGCGCGGGGGACGUCUGGAGACAAGGUCGGGCCUGGAACACCCAGAGAACAGACUGGAGGACUGCAGCGGGAGGAAAACUUGGACUGGCUGUUUGGAUGUGUGCCUGCAGGCCUUGAUGGGGAAAAAUAAGUGCCCAGCACUCCAGGCUAAGACAAGCUACUAUACUUUAUCACCAAGUCGAGCUGAGGUUCCAGGUAGCCAAGGCAAAAAGCGAAACAUGAAAAGGAAAAACAACCUCCCUCGUGACAAAGGGCUCAGAGCACGCCCUCCGGAGCCCAGCCCGAGACUCAAUCAUGCCUCUGUCUCUUACCAGCUACCUAGUUGCUUUGGCAUAGGUAUUGGUCGGCCUCAGUGUAAUUCUGUAAAAUACGACAAAUACCAGCGUCCACUUCACAGGGUUGUUGUAGGAAUGAAACCAGCUGACACUUAGGAGGAGCUGAGAGCCUAGCGCAUGAACCGCCAACGAAAGUUAGAAACCGUUUCAUCACUGCCUUCCCUGGCUGAAUUCUUUUGUAGCCCAGGCUGGUCUUGAACUCACAGUGAUCCUCCUGCCUCAGCCUCCCACCGGCAUGCACCACACCCAGCAGUCCCUGGCUGAAUUCUAAAAUGUGUUCACAGAAAGACCCCCGAGCUACCUAGGGGGCAGCACUAGCGAUACGUUGGGUGGCUGUGUCUCAGUGGCUGUGGCUCAGGCUCCUGGAUGGAGCCCGGUCAAGGAGCGUGCUGCCAGGGAGCGGGCAUGGCCAGGUCUGAGCUUCCUGGCCGCCCUCUGGGCCAGAGAAGGGCGGAGAAAGGAAGGCGUCUCCUCCCCAUUCAGGUUGCCCUCUGGCCUGGCUCUGGGCCUGAGCCGUUUCCUGCUUCCUGACUCUUCCGCACACUCACGCUAUUUCUCAUAUUGUCCCCCUGCCCAGAACACCUCUUCCUUCCAGAACCCUCCUGGCAGACUCCUAUGCGUCCUUCAAAACUCCCUUCCAGAGGGACCGCUCCUUUCUGCAGGCUUCCAGGCACCUCUGCAGGGGACCCUGCACCUCCGUCUGUAAGAUUCGGAGUGGUGACAGUUGUCUUGAUGAUGAUGGUAGCUUCCCCAAGCACUACGUGAACUGCUUUACACACAUUAUUUCUAUCAGGGUCUU